GACGAACGCUGGCGGCGUGCUUAACACAUGCCAGUCGAACGGAAAGGCCCUGCUUUUGUGGGGUGCUCGAGUGGCGAACGUGUGAGUAACACGUGAGUAACCUGCCCUUGACUUUGGGAUAACUUCAGGAAACUGGGGCUAAUACCGGAUAGGAGCUCCUGCUGCAUGGUGGGGGUUGGAAAGUUUCGGCGGUUGGGGAUGGACUCGCGGCUUAUCAGCUUGUUGGUGGGGUAGUGGCUUACCAAGGCUUUGACGGGUAGCCGGCCUGAGAGGGUGACCGGCCACAUUGGGACUGAGAUACGGCCCAGACUCCUACGGGAGGCAGCAGUGGGGAAUAUUGCACAAUGGGCGGAAGCCUGAUGCAGCAACGCCGCGUGCGGGAUGACGGCCUUCGGGUUGUAAACCGCUUUCGCCUGUGACGAAGCGUGAGUGACGGUAAUGGGUAAAGAAGCACCGGCUAACUACGUG
This 468-nucleotide ribosomal RNA is filed under the name uncultured bacterium. Its description in RNAcentral is "partial 16S ribosomal RNA". It matches the Rfam family "Bacterial small subunit ribosomal RNA", at positions 28 to 507 of the family's 1533-position model. The record is from RNAcentral.